Molecule: ribosomal RNA, 245 nt
Filed under: uncultured Geobacter sp.
Lineage: Bacteria; Pseudomonadati; Thermodesulfobacteriota; Desulfuromonadia; Geobacterales; Geobacteraceae
Description: partial 16S ribosomal RNA
Rfam family: Bacterial small subunit ribosomal RNA
Source: RNAcentral
UACGGAGGGUGCAAGCGUUGUUCGGAAUUAUUGGGCGUAAAGCGCGUGUAGGCGGUUUUUUAAGUCUGAUGUGAAAGCCCCGGGCUCAACCUGGGAAGUGCAUUGGAAACUGGGAAACUUGAGUACGGGAGAGGGUAGUGGAAUUCCUAGUGUAGGAGUGAAAUCCGUAGAUAUUAGGAGGAACACCGGUGGCGAAGGCGGCUACCUGGACCGAUACUGACGCUGAGACGCGAAAGCGUGGGGAG